RNAcentral lists this ribosomal RNA (262 nucleotides) under uncultured Anoxybacillus sp. RNAcentral describes it as "partial 16S ribosomal RNA". It matches the Rfam family "Bacterial small subunit ribosomal RNA", at positions 1116 to 1382 of the family's 1533-position model. The record is from RNAcentral. Lineage: Bacteria; Bacillati; Bacillota; Bacilli; Caryophanales; Anoxybacillaceae.
UGCCAGCAUUCAUUGGGCACUCUAAGGUGAACUGCCGGCUAAAAGUCGGAGAAGUGGGGACACGUCAAAUCAUCAUGCCCCUUAUGACCUGGGCUACACACGUGCUACAAUGGGCGGUACAAAGGGUCGCGAACCCGCAGGGGGAGCCAAUCCCAAAAAGCCGCUCUACAGUUCGGAUUGCAGGCUGCAACUCGCCUGCAUGAAGCCGGAAUCGCUAGUAAUCGCGGAUCAGCAUGCCGCGGUGAGUACGUUCCCGGGCCUU